UCCCCAAGGCCACCAUAACUCACGAGU
RNAcentral lists this non-coding RNA (27 nucleotides) under Rattus norvegicus (Norway rat). Lineage: Eukaryota; Metazoa; Chordata; Mammalia; Rodentia; Muridae. The record is from RNAcentral.